AUGGUUUGGUAACUCUGUAAUAAAUUAAUCAAUAAAUGAGAUCCAAGCUAAAUAAAAUGUAUAGGCUUUAGCUAAAAUGGAAGAUACAUAAAGCUACCCUCUUUACUGAUGGAUGAAAGAGUAUAAGACAAUAAGGAGAGAUGAUAAAAACUCUCUGGCUAAGAUGAUAUGUUAAAGCAGAACAAUUUUGCCUUAUGGUAUGUUAAGGGAAACGUGAUGCCAUAAGCUAAGUCAUACAAUAAGUGCAGCUGUAUACCUAGUUUCAAUUUCAAAAGCAAUUCUAUUCCUAGACGGCCACUAGGUCCUCAUAUUGAAAUACUAAGG
This 324-nucleotide unclassified non-coding RNA is filed under the name Hevea brasiliensis (rubber tree). Lineage: Eukaryota; Viridiplantae; Streptophyta; Magnoliopsida; Malpighiales; Euphorbiaceae. The record is from RNAcentral.